RNAcentral lists this transfer RNA (84 nucleotides) under Orchesella cincta. It matches the Rfam family "tRNA". Rfam says of the family: Transfer RNA (tRNA) molecules are approximately 80 nucleotides in length. Their secondary structure includes four short double-helical elements and three loops (D, anti-codon, and T loops). Further hydrogen bonds mediate the characteristic L-shaped molecular structure. tRNAs have two regions of fundamental functional importance: the anti-codon, which is responsible for specific mRNA codon recognition, and the 3' end, to which the tRNAs corresponding amino acid is attached (by aminoacyl-tRNA synthetases). tRNAs cope with the degeneracy of the genetic code in two manners: having more than one tRNA (with a specific anti-codon) for a particular amino acid; and 'wobble' base-pairing, i.e. permitting non-standard base-pairing at the 3rd anti-codon position. The record is from Rfam by way of RNAcentral. RNAcentral also lists the same sequence under 1 other name. Lineage: Eukaryota; Metazoa; Arthropoda; Collembola; Entomobryomorpha; Orchesellidae.
GCCAGGAUGGCCGAGUUGGUUAAGGCGUCGGACUUAAGUUCCGAUUCGGGAUUCCGAGCGUGGGUUCAAAUCCCACUCCUGGCA